GAUUGAACGCUGGCGGCAUGCUUUCCCCAUGCAAGCCGAACGGCAGCGCGGGCUUCGGCCUGGCGGCGAGUGGCGAACGGGUGAGUAAUGCAUCGGAACGUGCCCAGUAGUGGGGGAUAGCCCGGCGAAAGCCGGAUUAAUACCGCAUACGACCUGAGGGUGAAAGCGGGGGACCGAAAGGCCUCGCGCUAUUGGAGCGGCCGAUGUCGGAUUAGCUAGUUGGUGGGGUAAAGGCUUACCAAGGCGACGAUCCGUAGCUGGUCUGAGAGGACGACCAGCCACACUGGGACUGAGACACGGCCCAGACUCCUACGGGAGGCAGCAGUGGGGAAUUUUGGACAAUGGGGGCAACCCUGAUCCAGCCAUGCCGCGUGCGGGAAGAAGGCCUUCGGGUUGUAAACCGCUUUUGUUCGGGAAGAAAUCCUCUGGGCUAAUACCCCGGGGGGAUGACGGUACCGGAAGAAUAAGCACCGGCUAACUACGUG
RNAcentral lists this ribosomal RNA (485 nucleotides) under uncultured bacterium. Its description in RNAcentral is "partial 16S ribosomal RNA". It matches the Rfam family "Bacterial small subunit ribosomal RNA", at positions 27 to 507 of the family's 1533-position model. The record is from RNAcentral.